Molecule: ribosomal RNA, 488 nt
Filed under: uncultured bacterium
Lineage: Bacteria
Description: bacterial SSU rRNA
Rfam family: Bacterial small subunit ribosomal RNA
Source: RNAcentral
AAAGGAAUUGACGGGCACCCGCACAAGCGGUGGAGCAUGCUGUUUAAUUCGAAGAUACGCGAAGAACCUUACCUAGACUUGACAUCCCCGGCAAAGCUAUAGAAAUAUAGUAGAGGUUACCCGGGUGACAGGUGGUGCAUGGUUGUCGUCAGCUCGUGUCGUGAGAUGUUCGGUUAAGUCCGAUAACGAGCGCAACCCUUAUUAUUAGUUACUAACAUUUAGUUGAGGACUCUAAUGAUACUGCCGGUGAUAAACCGGAGGAAGGUGGGGAUGACGUCAAAUCAUCAUGCCCCUUACGUCUAGGGCUACAGGCGUGCUACAAUGGCCAAUACAAAGAGUCGCAAUACCGUAAGGUGGAGCUAAUCUCUAAAGUUGGUCUCAGUUCGGAUUGAGGUCUGCAACUCGACCUCAUGAAGCUGGAAUCGCUAGUAAUCCUGAAUCAGAAUGUCAGGGUGAAUACGUUCCCGGGUGUUGUACACACCGCCCGU